AUACGGGGGAUUCAAGCGUUAUCCGGACUUAUUGGGUUUAAAGGGUGCGUAGGCUGAUAAAUCAGUCAGCGGUGAAAUUUACGGGCUUAACUUGUAGCUUGCCGUUGAAACUAUUUAUCUAGAGAUAUUUCGGCGUAUGCGGAAUGUAUCAAGUAGCGGUGAAAUGCGUAGAUAUGCUACAGAACACCAAUCGCGAAGGCAGCAUACGAGGCAUCAUCUGACGCUGAUGCACGAAAGCGUGGGGAUCAAAUAGGAUUAGAUACCCCGGUAGUCCUAGCCGUAAACGAUGGAUACUAGGUGUGGGUGUCGCAGGGCAUCCGUGCCGCAGCUAACGCGUUAAGUAUCCCGCCUGGGGACUACGGUCGCAAGACUGAAACUCAAAUGAAUUGACGGGG
Molecule: ribosomal RNA, 395 nt
Filed under: uncultured bacterium
Lineage: Bacteria
Description: partial 16S ribosomal RNA
Rfam family: Bacterial small subunit ribosomal RNA
Source: RNAcentral